UGGGGAAUUUUGGACAAUGGACGCAAGUCUGAUCCAGCCAUUCCGCGUGCAGGAUGAAGGCCCUCGGGUUGUAAACUGCUUUUGGACGGAACGAAAAGCCGCUUUCUAAUACAGAGCGGUCAUGACGGUACCGUCAGAAUAAGCACCGGCUAACUACGUGCCAGCAGCCGCGGUAAUACGUAGGGUGCAAGCGUUAAUCGGAAUUACUGGGCGUAAAGCGUGCGCAGGCGGUUAUGUAAGACAGGUGUGAAAUCCCCGGGCUUAACCUGGGAACUGCAUUUGUGACUGCAUAGCUAGAGUACGGUAGAGGGGGAUGGAAUUCCGCGUGUAGCAGUGAAAUGCGUAGAUAUGCGGAGGAACACCGAUGGCGAAGGCAAUCCCCUGGACCUGUACUGACGCUCAUGCACGAAAGCGUGGGGAGCAAACAG
This 428-nucleotide ribosomal RNA is filed under the name uncultured bacterium. RNAcentral's name for it is "bacterial SSU rRNA". It matches the Rfam family "Bacterial small subunit ribosomal RNA", at positions 355 to 775 of the family's 1533-position model. The record is from RNAcentral.